ACGUUUUUGUUCCCUCUUCCUAGGAGGUGCAAACAGAGGCCAUGUUUACAAACCAUCAAAAGCAGAGGAUCCAUCAUUGCGAACGAGCACUGCACUGCAAUUGAACCCACCACCCACCCCAUGGACGACUGAACUCUGUGACUGUUAGAACUGAAGGAGCAGGGUCACAUAAAUGCUGAAGAAAGAGAGAAUCGGACAGCUUGUCCUAACUGCACGCCAUCAUGUGUUAGCACAGCCUGCAUGGCCUUCGGGGCUUCUUCGCCUCUGGAACACUGUCUUCC
Alosa sapidissima (American shad) is the source of this 281-nucleotide long non-coding RNA. RefSeq lists it as uncharacterized. The record is from RefSeq and is a predicted model, not a curated record. The transcript has 3 exons. NCBI's taxonomy places the organism in Eukaryota, Metazoa, Chordata, Actinopteri, Clupeiformes, Clupeidae.